CCAGACUCCUACGGGAGGCAGCAGUGGGGAAUAUUGCACAAUGGGGGGAACCCUGAUGCAGCGACGCCGCGUGGGUGAAGGAGCACCUCGGUGCGUAAAGCCCUAUCGGCAGGGAAGAAAAGCGAACAGGUUCGCCUGGACGGUACCUGACUAAGAAGCCCCGGCUAACUACGUGCCAGCAGCCGCGGUAAUACGUAGGGGGCAAGCGUUAUCCGGAUUUACUGGGUGUAAAGGGAGCGUAGACGGUAUGGCAAGUCUGAAGUGAAAGCCCCGGGCUCAACCUGGGAACUGCUUUGGAAACUGUUAAACUAGAGUGCUGGAGAGGCAGGCGGAAUUCCUAGUGUAGCGGUGAAAUGCGUAGAUAUUAGGAGGAACACCAGUGGCGAAGGCGGCCUGCUGGACAGUAACUGACGUUGAGGCUCGAAAGCGUGGGGAGCAAACAGGAUUAGAUACCCGAGUACG
RNAcentral lists this ribosomal RNA (462 nucleotides) under uncultured bacterium. Its description in RNAcentral is "bacterial SSU rRNA". It matches the Rfam family "Bacterial small subunit ribosomal RNA", at positions 331 to 793 of the family's 1533-position model. The record is from RNAcentral.